This 706-nucleotide ribosomal RNA is filed under the name uncultured Lachnospiraceae bacterium. RNAcentral describes it as "bacterial SSU rRNA". It matches the Rfam family "Bacterial small subunit ribosomal RNA", at positions 63 to 773 of the family's 1533-position model. Lineage: Bacteria; Bacillati; Bacillota; Clostridia; Lachnospirales; Lachnospiraceae. The record is from RNAcentral.
CGAAGCGCUUAAAUGGAUUUCUUCGGAUUGAAGUUUUUGUGACUGAGUGGCGGACGGGUGAGUAACGCGUGGGUAACCUGCCUCAUACAGGGGGAUAACAGUUAGAAAUGACUGCUAAUACCGCAUAAGCGCACAGUGCUGCAUGGCACAGUGUGAAAAACUCCGGUGGUAUGAGAUGGACCCGCGUCUGAUUAGCUAGUUGGUGGGGUAACGGCCUACCAAGGCGACGAUCAGUAGCCGGCCUGAGAGGGUGAACGGCCACAUUGGGACUGAGACACGGCCCAAACUCCUACGGGAGGCAGCAGUGGGGAAUAUUGCACAAUGGGGGAAACCCUGAUGCAGCGACGCCGCGUGAGCGAAGAAGUAUUUCGGUAUGUAAAGCUCUAUCAGCAGGGAAGAAAAUGACGGUACCUGACUAAGAAGCACCGGCUAAAUACGUGCCAGCAGCCGCGGUAAUACGUAUGGUGCAAGCGUUAUCCGGAUUUACUGGGUGUAAAGGGAGCGUAGACGGUUGUGUAAGUCUGAUGUGAAAGCCCGGGGCUCAACCCCGGGACUGCAUUGGAAACUAUGUAACUAGAGUGUCGGAGAGGUAAGCGGAAUUCCUAGUGUAGCGGUGAAAUGCGUAGAUAUUAGGAGGAACACCAGUGGCGAAGGCGGCUUACUGGACGAUCACUGACGUUGAGGCUCGAAAGCGUGGGGAGCAAAC